Molecule: ribosomal RNA, 410 nt
Filed under: Bacillota bacterium
Lineage: Bacteria; Bacillati; Bacillota
Description: Firmicutes bacterium partial 16S ribosomal RNA
Rfam family: Bacterial small subunit ribosomal RNA
Source: RNAcentral
UGGGGAAUAUUGCGCAAUGGGCGGAAGCCUGACGCAGCGACGCCGCGUGGGGGAUGACGGCCUUCGGGUUGUAAACCUCUUUCGCCCCCGACGAAGCGUGAGUGACGGUAGGGGGAGAAGAAGCACCGGCCAACUAGGUGCCAGCAGCCGCGGUAACACGUAGGGUGCGAGCGUUGUCCGGAAUUAUUGGGCGUAAAGAGCUCGUAGGCGGUGUGUCGCGUCGGCCGUGAAAACCUGCAGCUUAACUGUGGGCUUGCGGUCGAUACGGGCAUCACUGGAGUUCGGCAGGGGAGACUGGAAUUCCUGGUGUAGCGGUGAAAUGCGCAGAUAUCAGGAGGAACACCGGUGGCGAAGGCGGGUCUCUGGGCCGAUACUGACGCUGAGGAGCGAAAGCGUGGGGAGCGAACAGG